AUCACUUCUCAGACUUUUGGCUAAGAUCAAGUGUAGUAUCUGUACUUAUCAGUUUAAAGAAGGGGAUUCCAGAAGAGCUCAGGGGAUCAAAGGAAGGAGUAAAAAGUUGGACCUUAAUAAAAGAGUGGACUCAUCACCUCAGAGGCUGAUGCAAAGAGAACUUUGGGAAUGGGGUUGCAGACACAUU
Small nuclear RNA from Neogale vison (American mink), 187 nucleotides. RefSeq annotates it as U2 spliceosomal RNA. The transcript has a single exon. The record is from RefSeq and is a predicted model, not a curated record. Lineage: Eukaryota; Metazoa; Chordata; Mammalia; Carnivora; Mustelidae.